GAAAGCUCCUCCUUGUAUCUAUCCUCUUCCUUUCAUCCUUAUAACAUCCCUUCCUAAAACUCAACAAAGUUGUAGGAUAAAUACUCUUUUCGAUUGUUGGAGAUUUCACUCAACAAUGGGUAUCGGAAAGGAGGUUCCAAAUCACAAUAGAUUUUGUUUCCAUAGGAUUUCUCUUUUGAAAGAGACUUCAAGAUUUAACGAGGAAAACUCCUCCUUGGGUCUAUCCUCUUCCUUUCAUCCUUAUAACAUCCCUUCCUAGAACUCAACAAAGUUAUAGGAAAAAAUACUCUUUUCAAUUGUUGGAGAUUUCACUCAACAAUGGGUAUCGGAAAGGAGGUUCCUUUCCUAGAAACGAAACCUUAUUGACAGAACACAAAAUCAUUUGUGUUCCCAGGAAGUAGGGGAGUUAAAAGGACUACUUAAAUCCCUACAACCUUAGGAAUCAUUUCUUUAUAAUACCCAAGUUGAGAACUUCGUGCACAACAAUGUUCCAGAGAACUUAGGGGGAUCUUGGAUCGUGACGGAAUCGUGGAUACCACUUUCUGAAAAGAGUAUUUCGACC
This 562-nucleotide long non-coding RNA is filed under the name Linum usitatissimum (flax). Its description in RNAcentral is "long non-coding RNA (LUSI_LNC003728)". The record is from RNAcentral. Lineage: Eukaryota; Viridiplantae; Streptophyta; Magnoliopsida; Malpighiales; Linaceae.